CGCGGAAUGGAGUCGAUGGUUAGCUCACCACUUUGACUUGGUGGGGUGCAGGUUCGAAUCCUAUUUUCGUGA
This 72-nucleotide transfer RNA is filed under the name Caudoviricetes sp. RNAcentral describes it as "tRNA-Val". Lineage: Duplodnaviria; Heunggongvirae; Uroviricota; Caudoviricetes. The record is from RNAcentral.